RNAcentral lists this ribosomal RNA (444 nucleotides) under uncultured bacterium. RNAcentral's name for it is "bacterial SSU rRNA". It matches the Rfam family "Bacterial small subunit ribosomal RNA", at positions 354 to 795 of the family's 1533-position model. The record is from RNAcentral.
GUGAGGAAUAUUGCGCAAUGGAGGCAACUCUGACGCAGCCAUGCCGCGUGCAGGAAGAAGGCGCUACGCGUUGUAAACUGCUUUUAACCGGGAAGAAACCCCAGGACGUGUCCUGGGUUGACGGUACCGGAGGAAUAAGCACCGGCUAACUUCGUGCCAGCAGCCGCGGUAAUACGAAGGGUGCAAGCGUUAUCCGGAUUCAUUGGGUUUAAAGGGUGCGUAGGCGGAGCGUUAAGUCAGUGGUGAAAUCCUGCAGCUUAACUGUAGACUUGCCAUUGAUACUGGCGCUCUUGAGUGCGCUUGAAGUGGGCGGAAUGUGCCGUGUAGCGGUGAAAUGCUUAGAUAUGGCACAGAACACCAAUUGCGAAGGCAGCUCACUAAGGCGAUACUGACGCUGAGGCACGAAAGCGUGGGGAUCGAACAGGAUUAGAUACCCGGGUAGUC